Long non-coding RNA from Dendrobium catenatum, 296 nucleotides. RefSeq lists it as uncharacterized. Lineage: Eukaryota; Viridiplantae; Streptophyta; Magnoliopsida; Asparagales; Orchidaceae. The record is from RefSeq and is a predicted model, not a curated record. The transcript has 2 exons.
AAAAGGGAUCAUUAAGAUCCACACCAAGAACAGCUGUUGAGGGCAUCAUUACUGGCAGAAUCUGCAGGAGAGUUGAGAUUGAGAACUGUAGAAUCGGCUCUUGGAGGGUGAAGAUCCAAUGGAAAAGUUACAAGUUCAGCAGAAGGGAUCAAAGCAGUUGGCUUGGUGAUUUUGGAGGUAACAUCUUCUUCAUUAUGAUUCAUAAAGCUCUCAGUCUUCUUUUCAAUUGGGUUUUCUACGUUAGAAAAAGCGAUUCCUGGAGUGAAAAAGAAGCUAAUCUGGUAGUUUUGCUUUAA